GACACGGCACGGCACGGCACGAGGCAGGAUUUAGCAAGCGAGCGGCCCGCGCGCAGCCCCGCCGAAAAUAGCCGCCCCUCCUCAGAUCCAGGGCGCGGUCCCUCCCUCCCCCCUCCGCCUGAAAUCAAGCCCCCGUCGCCCUAUCCGCGGCACGGCCACGCUCGCUUGCCUGCCUGCCUGCUUCCCCCCCAAUCCCUCUCUUCCUCUCCUCGCAGAGGGAAGAAGAAGAAGAAGCCCGAUUGGUCACCCCUCUCCCCGAAUGGGAGGCUGGUCGACCCCGCGCCAAUAAGCAGCACCUCGGCGGGUGGGUGGGUGGCCGGGGGGAUUGGUUCGCUCGCCCCGCUCCUUCCUUCGAUCCAGCCGAUCGAUCCCAGUCGAAUCCAAUCCAAUCCAAUCCAAUAAUUUAUUCUGCUUCUCCUCGCCGGCCGCCGUCCGCCGUCUUCGCUUCGCCUGGACCUCCCACCCGGUUGGUUGGAUUUUAGAAAGUUUCUCCCGUUCGUUCCAUCCUUCUGGUGAGUACCUUACCGCUCGGUUGCUUCUCUCCCCCCCUUCCGUGUUCCUUCUCUGUUUCUCUGCCCCGUCUUACGAUGGUUGUUUCUCCUGGCAGUUUCGAUUUGGGAUCUUUAGUUCAUCGGCUGCCCGGCGGUUUCUUCAGCCCCAUUUGAUUUCACUUAGGUUUGAUUUGAUUUGAUGACGCCUCUUCUGAUUCCUUUGCUCUAGAGUAGUAAUUUGCAAGAGAAGAAAAAAAAGAUUAUUUCGUGGUCGCGCUGAGGAUAAUGGCGUAGCGGUUGGAUACAAGGAAGGCCGUAACUUGCAAGGCUGGCAUGCCACCCAUGCUUUGUCUCUAACUAAUGACUGCGACUGAUUGUGAUUUGCCAGGCUAAACAUCUCUGUUCAAUUCAUUCAUGGGACGUAUCAUGCCCGCUAGUUUGAUUUGAUGAGUACCAGAGUGCCAGUUGCUUUCAGAAUCUUCUUUUUUCUUGAAGCUUUUCUUCUUUUGACCGUUUUAGUGACCCGUCGUUCUUGUCCGGCUGCUCAUACACUGCAGAUAGAUGGCAGGAUGGGAAAGUGGCAACUGGCAAGCAUCAUGCUUGGAUAAUUCGGGAUGGGUCGAUAUAGUAGGAGAUAAUUCGAUGCGCAUUGACCGGAUGUGGCAUCUACUAAAGCACUGCAUUUUCUUGCGCAGGUCCAUUCAGUACUCAGCAUAUCCGUUUGCCUCCGAUCGAGCAAGAAUAUAUACGCAGCCGCCGGCUCGUGCCAGACAUGGAGCACGCGAUGCCGACGAUGGCCGCGGAGUCCGAGGGCGCGACCACCGACGACGACGUGCACCUCUCCCCGACCAGCGUCAGCAGCGGUGGUGGAGGAGGAGGAGGAGGAGGCCCCCCCAGCGUCCGCUUCAAGAUACUCUGCAGCUUCGGCGGCCGCAUCAUGCCCCGCCCGUCCGACGGCGCGCUCAAGUACAUUGGCGGCGACACCCGCGUCCUCGCCGUGCCCCGCUCCAUCCGCUUCCGCGAUUUGAAGAAGAAGGUGGAGGAGAUGUUCAAGACGGAUGUGGCGGCCAUCAAGUACCAGCUGCUCUCCUCCGACGACCUCGACGUGCUCGUGUCCGUCACCUGCGACGAGGACCUGGCCCACAUGCUCGACGAGUACGACCGGUUCGAGGCGAAGCGGUCGCCGUCCGCGUCGCCCCGUUUCCGCGUCUACGUCUUCGUGCCGCAUCAGGUCUCCGCCUCGUCGGCCGCCGCCGCCGUCGCCGCCCCCGUCUCCUCUUCGCGCCACGUCAGCUACGCCCGCAACCAGCCGCACUACCAUCCCCACCACCACCACCUCCAGCCGGAGCGGGAGCGCUACGUGGCCUCGGUGCCCGGCACGCCUGACGGAAGCCCGCCGUACCCGGACCAGCCCAACGGUGUCGCCUCGGCGGGGAACUCCCCGCGCGCCAACAUCGUGGAGCAGGCCGUGUUCCGCGGGGGGAUGCAGCGCGUCCGGAGCUCGCCCAACCUCGGCGGCCUGAACGCGGCACCGCUACCCUUCCAUGACCACGCCGGGGACAGCCCCGGAGGCCUGGCUGGAUACAUGAGCGGCUCGCCAGUGCACCCGGGCGCCGGCCACAUGUUCUCGCAGGGCAGCUACAACCCCUACCGCAGCCCGCAGCCGCAGUACUCUCCAGCGCCCGUGCCCGUGCCGCACCACGCCGGCGUGGCCGGGAGGUACGACUCGCGCGGCGGUUACGCGCGGGGCGGCAGCUACAAGGCGGCGCCGCUGGCGCCAGCGCUCCGGUCUGGUCGGCCGGUCAGCAGGAGCGGCGGGGCGCCGUACAGCGAGAUGCAGACGCCCAAGAAGGCGGCGACGAUCUGGGACUGAGGUGGUUCUGCAGCGGUUCGGUUCAGGGCCAUGGAGUUGGAGGCAGCAACUUGCAACUUGCUUGAGAUGUAAAUACAUGGAUACUUCCAUGCGGCCUUGUUAGCAGGCUGUUUUGUUGUUGAAAUGUUAUCCAGGCUGAGAAUUAACAAAUUUUCUUCACAUGUCAGGGCACCAAACUGUCGAUCGUUUUAUGUUGAACGUUCGAACGUCUGCUUUGCUCGUCUUCCUCCCGCUUCACUGCUUCUUCUCUUAAGCAACAACUGUAGCAGAGUCACCAUAGCAGUUCGAUCGCCAUAAUAACC
Molecule: ribosomal RNA, 2666 nt
Filed under: Triticum aestivum (bread wheat)
Lineage: Eukaryota; Viridiplantae; Streptophyta; Magnoliopsida; Poales; Poaceae
Description: partial small subunit ribosomal RNA
Source: RNAcentral